UAAUUUUUAUUAAUUUAAAUUUAUUUAUAGAAAGGAAUUUAAAUAAAAAUCAAAACACAGCACAAUAAACAAGUUGUUUUGCAAUAUUCGCAAUAUGUAUAUUGAAGGUUGCACAACCCAUUCGAUACUAAAUAAUCGCUGAAGAAUUCCACUGUCCCUCAUCAUGAGAAGACUAUAAAGAAUGAAAAUAUUUGAGUGUGAAUAAUUAUGAAUAAAAUUUUGUUAUAAACAUG
Long non-coding RNA from Leptopilina boulardi, 233 nucleotides. RefSeq lists it as uncharacterized. NCBI's taxonomy places the organism in Eukaryota, Metazoa, Arthropoda, Insecta, Hymenoptera, Figitidae. The transcript is spliced from 2 exons. The record is from RefSeq and is a predicted model, not a curated record.